Molecule: long non-coding RNA, 1707 nt
Organism: Papaver somniferum (opium poppy)
Lineage: Eukaryota; Viridiplantae; Streptophyta; Magnoliopsida; Ranunculales; Papaveraceae
Exons: 4
Source: RefSeq, a predicted model, not a curated record
UUCAACUCCUCCUUUUAUGUUUCCAUCUUCAACACCACGAACCGAAAUACUUAUUUGAAACUUUAGGGUAUUUUUUGUGAACCAUUUUCGGUGAUGACCAUGGCUAAGUAGCAAGAUUCAAAUCGAUUGACUGGUGAUGGCGCUGAGAUAUGGUAUUUCUUCUUUUUUAUUAUCGUUUAUUUCCUCAAGUUGAAUAUAGAGUUGUUGCAAAGGAAUUUGAGACAGGUAUGUUAGGGUUUGAGAUUUUAUUGUCUGUUACCAAUAAAAUAAUCUGUUCAAUCGGUAACCGUACCGAUAUGUUUCGUCGGUUAUGUAUUUUGAGUUAAUUAAAAGCUGAUUUCGUGGUUAAUCUUAUCUAUUUUGAGAUUUUUUCUUUCCAUUGUCAAAUUUGAAACUCAUACUGGAUUUUUUUGCUCUGCUAGCUGGUGGACUGUGUGUAAGCUACUCACCAUUUUUUAGGGUUGAUUUCCCUUUUAAACAGGCCUUUGAAUUACUUACAGUUCCCAUUGAUGAAUGCUCAUACGAUCACCUGUCUUUAUUUAUUCUCCGCAGUACAGAUGGCUUUUGAAAAUUCAUUCUAUAGCCUAGCUCCCCAUGUUGUACAGGUAUGAGCUGUAGUUUCUAUAAUUUGUCCAGUCAUUUCAGAAUUUGAAUCAAUAUAUUAUGUUCCUUCAGUGCGAUAUAAUAGUCAAUAUUCACAUUUUCCUUUCCCAUUCCUUAUUACCAAGUGAUUUGUUGGUUAUGACAGUGGGUGUUGAGCGCAUAUAACACACAAAUACAUUCUGAUGGUCUUCUUAGCUGUUAUCUCUUUGCUAUUUGAUGGGUUCUUUGUUUUACUGUGACUUUAUCUACUCACAUUUAACACAUUAAGGAAAACUCCACCAAUGUGGUUUGUGGGGACUUGAACAACUUUGUUUUUCAUCUGACCCUGUGUGUAAGCUACUCAUGAUCCUAUGGUGGUAUCAACAAAAUUUAACUCCAGUGGUAUGACAUAUUGUGAUUGCUGUUUUUCUGUGUGGCAGAGAUUCAAGUGGAAAGACUACAUUAGUUGUGGAUAGCUACUGUGGACAAUGAAUCAACCAUUUGCUAGGGUCCCGUAAAGAGGGAAUAGUGCAGGCCAAAGUGGCUCUUCGACAAACACGGGUCUGUUUGAUGUUUGCACCUAUCAUACAAACAUUUCUCUCUGUCAUCUAAGGUCCAGACUUUUGGGAGUCUUGAGCUAUAUAUUUGCUACUAUGUGUGGGGAGACUUUAAACUAAGGCAUAACAGUUGUCGCCAAAGUGCCAUCUACAAUUCUUUUUAUUUCACUCUAGGAGUUCUCCCAUACUGGUGUCGGGUGCUUCAGGGAUUACCGUAAAUUCUUGGCUUAACAAAUUUACUAAAGUAAAGCUGGAUUUCCAGAAUGCAAGUUCAACUUCAUAGGCUUCAAAGCGCAUCGAACAAAGUGCACGGCACCAGGUUCUAUAUAAUUGCAAUGGGAAAGUUGAAGGGUCUCCGAUGUUACCAUGGUAGCGUUUAAUAGCCUAGACAGGACUGGCCAACGAAAAGCAAGUUUUUGCACCUGAUGACAAUGAAUCAAUGAUACUCAAACAUAAUACGAAAUUAUUUUAAGGAUAUUUAUCUUGAUAAUAUUAUUAUUCAAGUUGUAAUGGUGAUUGUACUUUUGCUAUGUGUUAGCAUCAUUUUAAGGCUAACAUUUUUCUUUCA